MicroRNA precursor from Oryza sativa Japonica Group (Japanese rice), 197 nucleotides. It matches the Rfam family "MIR812 microRNA precursor family". The record is from Rfam. NCBI's taxonomy places the organism in Eukaryota, Viridiplantae, Streptophyta, Magnoliopsida, Poales, Poaceae.
AAUAAGUGCAGUUUUACACUAUUUAUCUCCAACGUUUGACUGUUCGUCUUAUUUGAAAUUUUUUUAUGAUUAUUAUUUUUAUUGUUAUUAGAUGAUAAAACAUGAAUAGUACUUUAUGUGUGACUAAUUUUUUUAAAAAAAUUUAAAUCAAAUAGACGGUCAAACGUUGGACACGGAUUUCUACUGCUGCACUUAUU